This 435-nucleotide ribosomal RNA is filed under the name Xingyurella xingyuarum. RNAcentral describes it as "LSU rRNA". It matches the Rfam family "Eukaryotic large subunit ribosomal RNA", at positions 705 to 1113 of the family's 3401-position model. The record is from RNAcentral. Lineage: Eukaryota; Metazoa; Cnidaria; Hydrozoa; Leptothecata; Sertulariidae.
AACUCCACGGCGCAAUGAAAGUGAAUGCAGGUGGGAUCCCUCUCUCUCUCGUUCUUCGAGGGAGGGGGCGCACCAUCGACCGACCUAAUCUACUCCUAGACAGGUUUGAGUAGGAGCACGCGUGCUGGGACCCGAAAGAUGGUGAACUAUGCUUGAGUAGGGUGAAGCCAGAGGAAACUCUGGUGGAGGCUCGUAGCGAUUCUGACGUGCAAAUCGAUCGUCAAACUUGUGCAUAGGGGCGAAAGACUAAUCGAACCAUCUAGUAGCUGGUUCCCUCCGAAGUUUCCCUUAGGAUAGCUGGAGCUUCGUUAAACACAGUUUCAUCCGGUAAAGCGAAUGACUAGAGGUCUUGGGGACGAAACGACCUCAACCUAUUCUCAAACUUUCAAUGGGUGAGAAGUUCCACGUGCCCGAUAGACGUGCGAACACGCGAAU